CAGACUCCUACGGAGGCAGCAGUGGGAAUAUUGCACAAUGGCGAAAGCCUGAUGCAGCGACGCCGCGUGGGGGAUGACGGCCUUCGGGUUGUAAACCCCUUUCAGUAGGGAAGAAGCGAGAGUGACGGUACCUGCAGAAGAAGCGCCGGCUAACUACGUGCCAGCAGCCGCGGUAAUACGUAGGGCGCAAGCGUUGUCCGGAAUUAUUGGGCGUAAAGAGCUUGUAGGUGGCUUGUCGCGUCUGCCGUGAAAACCCGAGGCUCAACCUCGGGCGUGCGGUGGGUACGGGCAGGCUAGAGUGUGGUAGGGGAGACUGGAACUCCUGGUGUAGCGGUGAAAUGCGCAGAUAUCAGGAAGAACACCGAUGGCGAAGGCAGGUCUCUGGGCCAUUACUGACACUGAGAAGCGAAAGCAUGGGUAGCGAACAGGAUUAGAUACCCUGGUAGUCCAUGCCGUAAACGUUGGGCACUAGGUGUGGGGGACAUUCCACGUUCUCCGCGCCGUAGCUAACGCAUUAAGUGCCCCGCCUGGGGAGUACGGCCGCAAGGCUAAAACUCAAAGGAAUUGACGGGGGCCCGCACAAGCGGCGGAGCAUGCUGAUUAAUUCGAUGCAACGCGAAGAACCUUACCAAGGCUUGACAUGCACCGGACGGUCGCAGAGAUGUGGCUUUCUUCGGACUGGUGCACAGGUGGUGCAUGGUUGUCGUCAGCUCGUGUCGUGAGAUGUUGGGUUAAGUCCCGCAACGAGCGCAACCCUUGUUCUAUGUUGCCAGCACGUGAUGGUGGGGACUCAUAGGAGACUGCCGGGGUCAACUCGGAGGAAGGUGGGGACGACGUCAAAUCAUCAUGCCCCUUAUGUCUUGGGCUUCAAGCAUGCUACAAUGGCCGGUACAAUGGGUUGCGAAACUGUGAGGUGGAGCGAAUCCCAAAAAGCCGGCCUCAGUUCGGAUUGGGGUCUGCAACUCGACCCCAUGAAGUCGGAGUCGCUAGUAAUCGCAGAUCAGCAACGCUGCGGUGAAUACGUUCCCGGGCCUUGUACACACCGCCCGUCAAGUCACGAAAGUCGGUAACACCCGAAGCCAGUGGCCCAUCCUCGUGAGGGAGCUGUCGAAG
RNAcentral lists this ribosomal RNA (1113 nucleotides) under Brachybacterium faecium. RNAcentral describes it as "bacterial SSU rRNA". It matches the Rfam family "Bacterial small subunit ribosomal RNA", at positions 332 to 1461 of the family's 1533-position model. Lineage: Bacteria; Bacillati; Actinomycetota; Actinomycetes; Micrococcales; Dermabacteraceae. The record is from RNAcentral.